AGCCCUGAGAAUUCUGGGAUUGCAAUGGUGGCGUACAGUAUGUUUUAAAUACGUUUGAAAUAUAUUUGGUCUACAUCAGGCUUCCGGCAAAGUUAAUAAUUUGUUUGAUAAAGGUAAACGACCUUCGUUUAUUCUGCUGGAGUAACUGGUAAACUCUACUAUAGCAGCAAGUUUUGUUUUGAUGAGCUUAUUCAGAUAUGGUAGUUCGUAUAACUUCUAGCUAACGUUAGCUGUGCUAGCUAAUUUACGGCUCUCUAAACUUCUUACUAACUUGCCAGUUAGCUGGCCGUGUCGUUUCGGUUGUUAUAUAAUUAUUGUGGUCAUUUUACAAGUAGUAGUAUGGGUUGGCCAUUUCGCCUUAGUCAUAGCUAACAUUAUAUUUUGCUGCUUAUGGUAUGUACAUGCUCGCGGUCUGCAAACUAACGACGCUGGCUAAGUUGUGAAGGCGGACUAGCUAGCUAGCAGAGCUAGUUAACGUUAGAAAUUAAGAAGCGAGUAACGUCUCGCUAGUUGGCAUUCACUGACCAUGCUCAGUUACUUGCGUCGACGUAUUUGCUGUUAGCUAAUGGGAAUUAUCCCACCGUGUAACGCUUGGCAGCGAACUAGCUAGCUAGCUAAUCAGUUUGAGCACUGCUUGUUGUGGUCUUAUUUAGCCAUCUAGCUAACUAAACAGCAGGCCACCAGCCAGACACGUCUUGGAUACUUAAAAAACGAACGUUAAUUAUACUUUCAGUGAGCUUGUUACAUAAAUCGUUGCUUUGGAAAAUGGACACAGGUAUAGCCUAUUAACUUUGCACGGGCCUUCUUAAAACAAUGUUUUUGUUUGUCAACUUUGACGGUUGAGUUGGAUAGUUGGGUGUAGUAGAUCAACUUUUGGAAGGCGAACUUUGUAGGUGUCACCUGGACGGGGGCUGUACUUCUAAUAAAUCUGUAAAGUUCGCAUUCUCGAUGGAAGGCGAGGCGAUGGAAGAUGAUGAUUCACUACAUCGGCUGGAGGGCAGCGACCCGGGCAUGCAGGUCGGGGGGCUAAUCGUAAAGAAGAAGAGCGCGGCCGCGGAGCCCCAUGUCUUCCGUGUUCCCACGCCGCGCACCUCUCUACUUGGUCUGGAUCUGCUGGCUAUGCAGAAACGCAAGGAGCGCGAGGCAGAAGAGGAAGACAAGAAGACGAAGAAGUCAAAGGUGUCCUCUUACCGGGACUGGGAUGAGGGUAGGGAAGACUCAGGAUCUGAUGAGGAGGAGGACAAAGAAGAGAGUGGGGGUGAUAGGAAGGAGAGAAAAUACCGCGUGACCGGCUCAGAAACGCCCUCUAACACUGGCGGAGUCAGCGAAGAGUUUCGGCGGAAACACCAGCAGAGGGAGAAAGAGCGACGUGAACACGGAGUCUAUGCCUCUUCCAAGGAGGAGAAGAAACGUGACAGAGAAAAGGACCGAGACAGAGAGAAGAACAGGGACAAGGACAAGGUCAAAGAACGGAGGAGUGAGAGAGGUUUGUAUGAGCACAGCGGCAGCCGGUCAGAGAGGGGGGAGCGGAGCGAGAGGGGGGAGCGCUCUCAGAGGGAAGGCUGGUCUGAGCGCAGCGGCCGGGGGUCCAGGAGAGAGGAGCCCGAGUCCCCCCGUCACCGCCCCAAAGACGCUCCGACGCCGUCUCGGUCCGGCUGGGACGAGGACGACAGCGGCUACUCCAGCUCCCGCCGGUCCCACUGGGAGUCCCCCUCCCCCGCCCCGUCCCCCUCGCACCGGGAGGCGGACCGUUCGGAGCGCAGCCAUCGCUCAGGGAGAGAGAGCGAGAGGAGGGAGAAGGACAGGUCUGUAAGGAGCCGGUAUCCUGAUGACACUCCACUGCCCACGCCCUCCUACAAGUACAACGAGUGGGCCAAUGACAGGAGGCACUUGGGCUCCACCCCCCGUCUGUCACGUGGGAAAGGUAAGAAGGAGGAAGGGGAAGAUGGCAUCGCCUUUGACAAUGAGGAUGAGAAGCAGCAGUGGGAGGAGGACCAGAAGCAAGCGGACAGAGACUGGUACAUGAUGGACGAAGGCUUCGAUGAGUUCCACAACCCGCUGACCUCCACCUCAGAGGAGUACGUGAAGAAAAGGGAGCAGAUCCUGCAGAAGCAGACGCAAAAGCGCAUCUCUGCCCAGAAGCGGCAGAUCAACGAGGACAAUGAGCGCUGGGAGACGAACCGCAUGCUGACCAGCGGGGUGGUGCAGAGGCUGGAGGUGGAUGAGGACUUUGAGGAGGACAAUGCCGCCAAGGUCCACCUGCUGGUCCACAACCUGGUCCCGCCCUUCCUGGACGGCAGGAUCGUCUUCACCAAGCAGCCCGAGCCAGUCAUCCCUGUGAAGGAUGCCACUUCUGACAUGGCCAUCAUCGCUCGCAAAGGCAGCCAGCUGGUCCGCAAGCACCGCGAGCAGAAGGAACGCAAGAAGGCUCAGCACAAGCACUGGGAGCUGGCGGGCACCAAGCUGGGUGACAUCAUGGGCAUCAAGAAGACCGAAGAAGAGGACGGAAAGCCGGGCAAACCCGUGGGCGAGGACGGCGCUGUGGACUACAAGGCCGAGCAGAAGUUUGCGGAUCACAUGAAAGAGAAGAGCGAGGCCAGCAGCGAGUUUGCCAAGAAGAAGACCCUGCUGGAGCAGAGGCAGUACCUGCCCAUCUUUGCUGUUCGGCAGGAGCUUCUCAACAUCAUCAGGGACAACAGCAUCGUGAUCGUGGUGGGCGAGACCGGCAGCGGGAAGACCACCCAGCUGACGCAGUACCUGCACGAGGACGGCUACACCAGCUACGGCAUGGUGGGCUGCACGCAGCCCCGCAGGGUAGCCGCCAUGAGCGUGGCCAAGCGAGUGAGCGAGGAGAUGGGCAACAACCUGGGGGAGGAGGUGGGCUACGCCAUCCGGUUUGAGGACUGCACCUCGGAGAAGACUAUGAUCAAGUACAUGACGGACGGGAUCCUGCUGAGGGAGUCCCUGCGGGAGUCGGACCUGGACCACUACAGCGCCGUCAUCAUGGACGAGGCCCACGAGCGCUCGCUCAACACGGACGUGCUGUUCGGCCUGCUCCGGGAGGUGGUGUCUAGGCGUUCAGACCUGAAGCUCAUUGUCACGUCUGCCACUAUGGACUCGGAUAAAUUUUCCGCAUUUUUCGGCAACGUUCCCAUAUUCCACAUUCCAGGAAGAACAUUCCCAGUGGACAUCCUGUUCAGCAAGACUCCUCAGGAAGACUACGUGGAGGCGGCGGUGAAGCAGGCCUUGCAGGUGCACCUGAGCGGCAUGCACGGGGACCUCCUCAUCUUCAUGCCGGGCCAGGAGGACAUCGAGGUAACCUCAGAUCAGAUAGUGGAGCGCCUGGAGGACCUGGAGAGUGCCCCUCCCCUGGCCGUGCUGCCCAUCUACUCCCAGCUGCCGUCCGACCUGCAGGCUAAGAUCUUCCAGAAGGCCCCAGACGGUGUGCGCAAAUGUAUUGUUGCCACAAACAUUGCUGAGACCUCCCUGACUGUGGAUGGGAUCAUGUUUGUUAUCGACGCCGGAUACUGCAAGCUCAAGGUGUUCAACCCUCGCAUCGGCAUGGAUGCCCUGCAGGUGUACCCCAUCAGCCAGGCUAACGCUAACCAGCGCUCAGGCAGAGCUGGGAGGACUGGGCCUGGGCAGUGCUACAGGCUGUACACUCAGAGUGCUUAUAAAAACGAGAUGCUGACCACCACCAUCCCGGAGAUCCAGAGGACCAACCUGGCCAACGUGGUGCUGCUGCUCAAGUCCCUGGGGGUCCAGGACCUGCUGCUCUUCCACUUCAUGGACCCGCCCCCAGAGGACAACAUGCUCAACUCCAUGUACCAGCUGUGGAUCCUGGGGGCCCUGGACAACACCGGUGGUCUUACCCCCACCGGCCGACUCAUGGUUGAGUUCCCCCUGGACCCAGCCCUGUCAAAGAUGCUGAUUGUGUCAUGUGACAUGGGCUGCAGUGCCGACAUCCUCAUCAUCGUCUCGAUGCUGUCUGUGCCCGCCAUCUUCUACAGGCCCAAGGGCCGUGAAGAGGAGAGCGACCAGGUGAGGGAGAAGUUCGCGGUGCCCGAGAGUGACCACCUGACCUACCUCAACGUUUACCUGCAGUGGAAGAACAACAACUACUCCAGUAUCUGGUGCAACGAGCAUUUCAUCCACACCAAGGCCAUGCGGAAGGUGCGGGAGGUGCGAGCCCAGCUGAAAGACAUCAUGGUCCAGCAGAGGCUGAAUCUGGUGUCCUGCGGCUCGGACUGGGACAUCAUCAGGAAGUGCAUCUGUGCCGCCUACUUCCACCAGGCCGCCAAGUUAAAGGGCAUCGGGGAGUAUGUGAACGUCAGGACAGGAAUGCCGUGUCACCUCCACCCUACCAGCUCUCUCUUUGGCAUGGGCUACACCCCAGAUUACAUCACCUACCAUGAACUGGUCAUGACCACCAAGGAGUACAUGCAGUGUGUAACAGCUGUGGAUGGGGAAUGGCUGGCGGAGUUGGGGCCCAUGUUCUACAGCAUCAAGCAUGCAGGGAAGAGCAGACAGGAGAACCGUCGGCGGGCGAAGGAAGAGAUCACCAUCAUGGAGGAGGAGAUGUCUCUGGCACAGCAGCAGCUGCGGUCCAGAAGGGAGGAGCAGGAGAGGAAGAGUAACCUGGGCAGCAUCAGGCCCUCGGCACUAGCCGUCGCCACGGAGAGAGACAAACGGCCAUUUUGUCCCCGUCCAUGGUCACAGCCACCACCCUUCCCAGCCUAAACCUUCAACCCUUGUGCGCUCCUCCUGGCCUGUGUGCUCAGUGUACGGGGGACUGCUGUGUGACAGAUCAGUGAAGAUCUGCACCCCGGGGAGGAAAGAAGAGGAGCCCAUGACCCCAAAGCGCACGCCCUCGCGAUUCGGACUGUAAAUCUCGCCCACAUCGCGUGUAACACGCUCACGGAAAUGCAGGGCACUGAUGGACUGUAACUGUACUUAAAAUUGUCACGCCCCCCCCUGGAACUAGCCAAAUUCAACACUAUAAUAAUGUGAACAAAUAAAUAUUGAAAGGUCUGCCUUGUUGUCCGAAGUGUUGUGAAGAUUGUAAUGCACAGGCUUAGCCAGUAGAGGGAGCACAUGUAUAAGGCAGGAGCACCUGGCUGAUUCUUUCCUCCAGCUGAAUUAAAUCAUAUCUGUUUUCAUCAGUGAGCAACAACAUAACAUUUCAGCAUGCACCAUUUUGAACCCCUGUGAUAUGGAGAGAAAUAUUUAAAAUGAAGGCAAUAUGAAUGUUUUUUUUUUUUUGCUUUAAGACCAGGAAAGGAAGUGUUUAAAUUCAGCCGUGUUUACUGUUGUUCUAUACUGCGCUUGAUUUCCUUACUCUCUGUACUCCUACCCCUGGUUCCAGAAUGACUGGGGACCAUCUUAAAGAGCGGCAGUUUUUGUCAGCCACUGAAAUGUAUUUUUUUUUCUAUUGCGGUGUGAGUGCUGGGUUUGGUAUUAUUAGGAUUAGUGUUAUUAAAUGCAUAUUUUUAAUGACGACAGCAGAGCUGUUGUUUAGCACAUACAGUCAGCCUCUUUGUCUCAGUCUUGCAUCUUGUUGGUAGAAAUGCCACUGUCAGAGGGCUAGUCAAAUACACAUUUUUUUGUGUUCCGAGUACAGCACAGUGCAUUCUGUGCCAAAAUGUAUUCGUCGGUGAGCGGUGUGUAACAGGUAGAGGACGGUGAAAUUGUUCUGUGGUAUGCUGCUGUAUCAGAAAUAUCUCUGAAUCUGCGCUUUGGCUUCUUUGUUUAUGUUGUUCAUUUCCUCUUAGAAAAUGGCAACAGUUUUUAAAAUGGGGAGACUCACUGAUCUUUAAUGUGCUGUCAUGUAGCAAUCAAUGGGGGAACAAAAACCCUUCCCUGAAAUGUGUUGUUGAAGCAUUUUGUAAGUUACACAAGUAUCCAAGGUAUAUCCAUCUAUGAGGGAAUUAAAUUUGUUCACAAGAUCGUCGGCUGAUCAUCAGUGUAUUUAAUUUGAGCCGUUCCGUACUCCAGCUCCAUGGCAGUACAUUAGCAAGAAUGCUCGGUCCUCUCUUAAAUACCUGAGCUUUAAAUAUGGGUUUGUGAAUUUGAUACAAAGGCUUCAGUCCCAGCGGUUCGGUGAAAGUCGAGCUGAACCUACCAUAUUCCAUUGUGUCGGGUGUGUGUGUCUCUGUCUCUGUGUCCUUCCUGGGCAGCAUCCUAUUGAAACUCUCAAGGUUCCCAGUCCUCUCUGCAUGUGUAUUAUCAACAGGAGGCAUUAUCGGAAUAUGGAACAAUAGCAAAUGUUUUAUUGUCCGUACCUUCUGAAUUGUCACUCGCAUUCUGUGGGUUGGCACUUGACAGGGACUUUUUGUGACUUGAUGUAUUUUUUUAUUUUUUAUUUUUUUAUUUUUUUUGCACGUAACUGUAAUUGUAGGCUGUGCCGUCGGAGGAAUGCCACUGGUAUAAGAACGACUAGAUGGUUUUUCUGGUUUUCUGCUCAGAUUUUGGCCACCAAUUAAAAAAAGCGCUUGUUUUUGUAA
This is an RNA transcript of Anguilla rostrata (American eel), 6503 nucleotides long. It is a transcript of the gene named DEAH (Asp-Glu-Ala-His) box polypeptide 38, with no coding region annotated. The record is from RefSeq and is a predicted model, not a curated record. Lineage: Eukaryota; Metazoa; Chordata; Actinopteri; Anguilliformes; Anguillidae. The transcript has 27 exons.